UGGGGAAUUUUGGACAAUGGGCGAAAGCCUGAUCCAGCAAUGCCGCGUGUGUGAAGAAGGCCUUCGGGUUGUAAAGCACUUUUGUCCGGAAAGAAAUCCUUGGCUCUAAUACAGUCGGGGGAUGACGGUACCGGAAGAAUAAGCACCGGCUAACUACGUGCCAGCAGCCGCGGUAAUACGUAGGGUGCAAGCGUUAAUCGGAAUUACUGGGCGUAAAGCGUGCGCAGGCGGUUUGCUAAGACCGAUGUGAAAUCCCCGGGCUCAACCUGGGAACUGCAUUGGUGACUGGCAGGCUAGAGUAUGGCAGAGGGGGGUAGAAUUCCACGUGUAGCAGUGAAAUGCGUAGAGAUGUGGAGGAAUACCGAUGGCGAAGGCAGCCCCCUGGGCCAAUACUGACGCUCAUGCACGAAAAGCGUGGGGGAGCAAAACAGGAUUAGAUACCCUGGUAGUCCACGCCCUAAAACGAUGUCAACUAGUUGUUGGGGAUUCAUUUCCUAGUAACGUAGCUAACGCGUGAAGUUGACCGCCUGGGGAGUACGGUCGCAAGAUUAAAACUCAAAGGAAUUGACGGGGUCAUAGCUGUUUCCU
RNAcentral lists this ribosomal RNA (588 nucleotides) under uncultured bacterium. RNAcentral describes it as "partial 16S ribosomal RNA". It matches the Rfam family "Bacterial small subunit ribosomal RNA", at positions 355 to 1375 of the family's 1533-position model. The record is from RNAcentral.